This is a long non-coding RNA of Mus musculus (house mouse), 274 nucleotides long. RefSeq annotates it as predicted gene, 39820. NCBI's taxonomy places the organism in Eukaryota, Metazoa, Chordata, Mammalia, Rodentia, Muridae. The record is from RefSeq and is a predicted model, not a curated record. The transcript is spliced from 3 exons.
CCAUCUCUCAUGGGUUGGGAUUACAGGUGCACACACCAAGACUGGCCAUACGUGCAUUUCUGAGGGCAACAUGGCUGCUGCCACAGGGAACUUCUGAGACACACAGGCUCAAGCCCCUCCCCUGGCUUCACAGAUCAGAACCUUCCCUCGGAGAAGUUCCUGGUCAUCUGUGGACUUGUUAUCUUUGAAGAGACACUGCCCUGAGCACCAAGAACCAUGUCACAGGUGCACUUAAUAUCGAAGAUUUAUUGUCCUUAUUUAUAAUUGAAGAACA